Molecule: long non-coding RNA, 2815 nt
Organism: Bombus huntii
Lineage: Eukaryota; Metazoa; Arthropoda; Insecta; Hymenoptera; Apidae
Exons: 2
Source: RefSeq, a predicted model, not a curated record
UAAAAUUCCAGUUUUGCCAUUUAACGUACAUAAAAUAACAUAAUAUACAGGGUGGUUGAUAACUGGUGGUACAAGCGGAAAGGGAGUGAUUCUACGCGAAAAAAGAAGUCGAAAAUAUAGAAUAAAAAUUUUUCGUUCGAGGCUUUGUUUUCGAGAAAAUCGACUUUGAACUUUCGCUCGGUACGCGUGCGGUACGUUAUAACGGAUCUCACUGUAGAUCGUUGUCUCGAUGGACAAAUUAAAAAAAAGAAAGGAAAAGAAUCACCUUUCCGCUUGUACCACCAGUUAUCAACCACCCUGUAUAAUAUAAAUUAAUAUAAUAGAUAAAUAUAAUAAGUAAGAUAUAUACGGAAAUUUACAUUAAUUAAUGUAUAUUAAUUUGGUAGUAUACUAUUUUAUAAUAGUAACGUAUAUUGAUUUUAUUUUUUAUGCAACCAUUCGAUAAUUUUAUCGGUAGUUUUGAUAUUUGGUUAAAAAUAAAUAUUUAUAAACUAUCAGAAAAUAAAUGCAUUUACGCAUGUUAUCCAUAGAUAUACAGGGUGAACCAUGUAAUUGGGUUCGAUUUCAUUGAUAAACAGGUAAUAUCUACGAACAUAGGUCAUGUCAUUCCAUUGUACUUCUUCUUCAGCGAAAUUGAAACUAUAGCCCGACCCAGCUGCGUGGCCCACCCUGUAUACGUUCACUUGUUCAAUUUUCAUUUCAUGUGCAACGUUAUAAGCUCGUUUAUUCGAUUUUUAUUGCAAUACGCUUUAAUCAGAAAUUUUACAAAAAUCUCCAAUUAUCACAAUUCUUCUAACGGGGUUCUGUCAUUUUAGAAAAUUGUUCGAACGUUUGAAAACGUAGUAAUACACAGGGACAAACUCAGAUAUAAAACAGUAGCAAAAGUUCAUAUUUUAAUUCAGUUGGUCUUUCUUCGUUACGAUACUAUUCAGUCAGUGUCAUUGUUCUUCUUUUCUAUUUUCUACUAAUCGUAAAUCUUGACAUGUCUUACGGUUAAAUUCGAUCAUCUGAUAACCUUUGUCUCUACUUUUCUACAAUUAUCCAAUCAUUCACAGAAUCAUCACAGACAGGUACGCAGAUAACGCGAGUGAGUUACGACUUCUCGGUAUACGUGGGCGUUCUAUAAAUAUCUUUGGAACGAAUCGCGUACAUUGAAACAACAGACUGGCGGAAACGAAUUCACACCCUAUGCGAACAUUCCAACAUUCCCAGCUUCCUCGUCUUGCACAAUUUCGGCAUUUACGACUUGCAUCAAUCUCUAUUUGACCAUUACGUGGGAUACUAAUUUUGGUUGCUCGAAGAAAAACUAACGAGCCAUUAGACGCUAUAUUAUAAUCACGUAGAAGGUCACAAGCUGUUAGAAUUUUUACCAUUUUUACUAUCAUGCAUGACUAGUGACUUCAUUUAUGUAGCAUGAACAAAAAUAAUUUGAUAUGAUAAUAAAUAACGUUUGUUGUAACGUCGAGAGAGUAAAUUCCAGUUUGUUCGUACUUCGUAUAAUUGUUGGAAGUUCGUGCGCGUAAAUUUUUAUGAAAAUGGAUAAACAUUUUAUAGCAAAAAUUGGUAACUUUCAUUACAUUUUUUGAACGAACGAAUUCUUUAAAAUAUUAUUUACGCAGCCUAAAUUUUUACGUUCGAAUCAUUUCUCUAAAUCUGACAAUUUCUCAGAUAUUCCGUCAGAUAUGUUUCAAACCCCCAAAUUUGUCGCCUGUUUUCGUCAAAACUAUGGUCUACGAAUUACAAGUUUGCAAUGUAACAAAUUAAUAUUUAAGGAUCGACUUUUCAUAUUUUUCAACGUUGGUUACGUCAUCGUCAACAAUUAGAAGCUUCGAGAUUUACAGAUUUCUCUGCUAAAGUGAACUUUGCUCGGAGUUUUCUUAAAUUAAAAGUUUCGUCACUCGUGCCAUUUGUCCCCUGAACUUCUGAUUUAAAAGAAAACACAGACGAAUCGACUGCCAGCGAGAAAGCGAAGAGGAACACUUUCUAACGAAACGAGGUCGGUUUUGCAAUAUCCAAAUGCCAAUUUGUGUGUCUUGUCAGGGCGAUGGCCGAAGUCCAAUCGGACCCUCGUAUUCGUCUAUCUUUUAUUUCUUCACCGUCUGAACAAAACGAUCGACUGUCAUUUGCAAGCGAGCUCGAUUCGUGAUCACUAGUCAUAGCGAAAAAAUUUUUCUUUGCGCAAUAUGUACGCAUAUUGAAAAGCGCAACCCUUUGCAAGCUCGGGGCGCGUGCAUAGACGCCUCCUCGACGACGACGCGGUCAAACGCGCGCGCUCAAACUCGAUGACGCAAUAUCUAUUUUGCCUAACCGUGAAACAGAUUACGCGUUCCGCAAUAUCGAUCGAUCUUAUCGUCGUUUAUGUUUCAAAAGCUGCAAGAACUUAACGUGAAAACAAAUAGAACGGAAAACCGACGGAAUUUUCACAGAAAAUAGCACGAACUUUUUGCAAUAUUAUGCGAUCGGAGGACAAUUCGUGAAAUUGGGAAAAAUUUAACGUGGUUGUUUGGUGUUUGCGUAGCUUUUACGGAAACAGCUAUGAAUUCUCGAGAAGAAAGGUUAUUUAUUUAUCUAGGUAUAACAAUUAUCUAAUAUGUAACACAUUGGUGCCAAAGAGAAGAGAAGAAACACCGAAUUCUAAUAAAUUAUUUGCAAUUGUGUCAAGUAAUUAUAAUGUAAAUUCUAAGGUAACAUAAAGAUUCACACUAAACUAAGUAAAAGUAAAAUAAAAAAACUAAGUAAAAUAAAACUAAGUAAAGACUAAGUAAAAUAAAAAAACAUAGACGUUCGAAACAUUAAAUAUAAAGCUUAAAGUUCA